UACGUAGGGUGCGAGCGUUAAUCGGAAUUACUGGGCGUAAAGUGUGCGCAGGCGGCCGAGCAAGUCUAGUGUGAAAGCCCCGAGCUUAACUUGGGAACUGCGCUCGAAACUACUUGGCUAGAGUGUGGCAGAGGGAGGUGGAAUUCCACGUGUAGCGGUGAAAUGCGUAGAGAUGUGGAGGAACACCGAUGGCGAAGGCAGCCUCCUGGGCCAACACUGACGCUCAUGCACGAAAGCUAGGGGAGCGAACGGG
RNAcentral lists this ribosomal RNA (253 nucleotides) under uncultured bacterium. RNAcentral's name for it is "partial 16S ribosomal RNA". It matches the Rfam family "Bacterial small subunit ribosomal RNA", at positions 524 to 776 of the family's 1533-position model. The record is from RNAcentral.